UUGAACGCUGGCGGCAGGCCUAACACAUGCCAGUCGAACGGUAACAGGAAGAAGCUUGCUUCUUUGCUGACGAGUGGCGGACGGGUGAGUAAUGUCUGGGAAACUGCCUGAUGGAGGGGGAUAACUACUGGAAACGGUAGCUAAUACCGCAUAACGUCGCAAGACCAAAGAGGGGGACCUUCGGGCCUCUUGCCAUCGGAUGUGCCCAGAUGGGGUUAGCUAGUAGGUGGGGUAACGGCUCACCUAGGCGACGAUCCCUAGCUGGUCUGAGAGGAUGACCAGCCACACUGGAACUGAGACACGGUCCAGACUCCUACGGGAGGCAGCAGUGGGGAAUAUUGCACAAUGGGCGCAAGCCUGAUGCAGCCAUGCCGCGUGUAUGAAGAAGGCCUUCGGGUUGUAAAGUACUUUCAGCGGGGAGGAAGGGAGUAAAGUUAAUACCUUUGCUCAUUGACGUUACCCGCAGAAGAAGCACCGGCUAACUCCGUG
RNAcentral lists this ribosomal RNA (489 nucleotides) under uncultured bacterium. Its description in RNAcentral is "partial 16S ribosomal RNA". It matches the Rfam family "Bacterial small subunit ribosomal RNA", at positions 30 to 507 of the family's 1533-position model. The record is from RNAcentral.